This 701-nucleotide ribosomal RNA is filed under the name Microbacterium sp. RNAcentral's name for it is "bacterial SSU rRNA". It matches the Rfam family "Bacterial small subunit ribosomal RNA", at positions 55 to 771 of the family's 1533-position model. Lineage: Bacteria; Bacillati; Actinomycetota; Actinomycetes; Micrococcales; Microbacteriaceae. The record is from RNAcentral.
AUGCAGUCGACGGUGAAGCCCAGCUUGCUGGGUGGAUCAGUGGCGAACGGGUGAGUAACACGUGAGCAACCUGCCCCUGACUCUGGGAUAAGCGCUGGAAACGGCGUCUAAUACUGGAUAUGUGACGUGACCGCAUGGUCUGCGUCUGGAAAGAAUUUCGGUUGGGGAUGGGCUCGCGGCCUAUCAGCUUGUUGGUGAGGUAAUGGCUCACCAAGGCGUCGACGGGUAGCCGGCCUGAGAGGGUGACCGGCCACACUGGGACUGAGACACGGCCCAGACUCCUACGGGAGGCAGCAGUGGGGAAUAUUGCACAAUGGGCGCAAGCCUGAUGCAGCAACGCCGCGUGAGGGAUGACGGCCUUCGGGUUGUAAACCUCUUUUAGCAGGGAAGAAGCGAAAGUGACGGUACCUGCAGAAAAAGCGCCGGCUAACUACGUGCCAGCAGCCGCGGUAAUACGUAGGGCGCAAGCGUUAUCCGGAAUUAUUGGGCGUAAAGAGCUCGUAGGCGGUUUGUCGCGUCUGCUGUGAAAUCCGGAGGCUCAACCUCCGGCCUGCAGUGGGUACGGGCAGACUAGAGUGCGGUAGGGGAGAUUGGAAUUCCUGGUGUAGCGGUGGAAUGCGCAGAUAUCAGGAGGAACACCGAUGGCGAAGGCAGAUCUCUGGGCCGUAACUGACGCUGAGGAGCGAAAGGGUGGGGAGCAA